This 597-nucleotide ribosomal RNA is filed under the name Salmonella enterica subsp. enterica serovar Anatum. Its description in RNAcentral is "partial 23S ribosomal RNA". It matches the Rfam family "Bacterial large subunit ribosomal RNA", at positions 1084 to 1681 of the family's 2925-position model. The record is from RNAcentral. Lineage: Bacteria; Pseudomonadati; Pseudomonadota; Gammaproteobacteria; Enterobacterales; Enterobacteriaceae.
CCCAGACAGCCAGGAUGUUGGCUUAGAAGCAGCCAUCAUUUAAAGAAAGCGUAAUAGCUCACUGGUCGAGUCGGCCUGCGCGGAAGAUGUAACGGGGCUAAACCAUGCACCGAAGCUGCGGCAGCGACACUGUGUGUUGUUGGGUAGGGGAGCGUUCUGUAAGCCUGCGAAGGUGGCCUGUGAGGGUUGCUGGAGGUAUCAGAAGUGCGAAUGCUGACAUAAGUAACGAUAAAGCGGGUGAAAAGCCCGCUCGCCGGAAGACCAAGGGUUCCUGUCCAACGUUAAUCGGGGCAGGGUGAGUCGACCCCUAAGGCGAGGCCGAAAGGCGUAGUCGAUGGGAAACAGGUUAAUAUUCCUGUACUUGGUGUUACUGCGAAGGGGGGACGGAGAAGGCUAUGUUGGCCGGGCGACGGUUGUCCCGGUUUAAGCGUGUAGGUGUGUGUUCCAGGUAAAUCCGGUUCACUUUAACACUGAGGCGUGAUGACGAGGCACUACGGUGCUGAAGCAACAAAUGCCCUGCUUCCAGGAAAAGCCUCUAAGCAUCAGGUAACAUCAAAUCGUACCCCAAACCGACACAGGUGGUCAGGUAGAGAAUAC